UAGUAACUCAUAUUAUAAAUAGACCCCAUGGGUGAGGGAAAUCGGCCACUCUUGCAAGAAAGAAACCCUAGAGCCUAUUUCCUCACCUCUCCUCUCUCUCAAGAUCAUCCUCUUGCUAGUUGGUGUUUGUAAGCCAUUAGAGGAGUGAUAAUUAUGACUCUAAGCUCCAAGAACAAGAAGUUUCAAGCAAGCAACUUAAGGUAUUCUUCUAGAUCUGAUUUCAUAUGUUAUGAUUCAAUUGUUUACACUAGAUCUAGAAUUGUAAGCCUUGGAUACAUUGCAUGUUCAAUUAGAGAAACCUAGAUCCAAGCAUUAGAGUUUGUAUGUGCACAUAGGAAAGUUCUUAUGGCUCAAACCCAUCGGUGGUAUCAGAGCUUUGAUUGGUUUCUAUUGAAUUGAUGCUUUGGUUGAUUAUUUUUGCUUGAAAAAAUCGUUUUCUGUGACUCUGAUUGAUGAACUCGGCGAGUUCCAUCGUGGACUCGGCGAGUAGCUCCAACUCAGCGAGUUCAUAGUGGAACUAGGCGAGUUCUAGUGUCAGUUAGAGCUGAUUUCAGGAUUUCUUGCUGUUUUGCUUAAGGAUACUUGGCUUAAUUGUUUUGGGUCAUUAAUAUCCGAACUUUAUCAUAUAUUUGAGUAUAUUCUUGACUAAACAAAAGAGAAUUACCAUUUGAUUGAAUAAUAAUUUCCUUAUAUGAUAAUAAUUGAUUAUUUGAAUUAAAUUGGUAAAUUGUCUUGCAAGUAAUAUUGACUAGGACAAAUUUAAAUAAUCAUUAAAUUAAUUAGUUGAUUUAUAUUAUUUUCUAUUCGAUCCUUUAUGUUUUGAAAAGUUUAAAACUUGUCCUCAUGUUUUGAAAUUUAAGUUUGGUGAUUAAAAGUUUAAUUUGAAUAAUUUAAAUUUCAAACCCUAGAAUUUUACAAGUUUAAAAUUCAACACUAUACUAUUAUAUCAUUACAAGCUUAAUAUAUAUAUAUAUAUAUAUAUAUAUAUAUAUAUAUAUUAUAUAAAAAAAAGCUAGUAUUACCGUUAGUAGCCCUCANCUAUAAGGUAGGUAUAAGGUUGUUGCCUAUAAAAUGGUGCUUAAUGGGUGUACACUCACACCCACCGCUUGCUUGACUGGUGGAGGUUCAUUAGUCGAACGGGUAGGAUAGGGCAAUCCUCUCCUCAUUAAUAAGUAUAAUGAAUCUAUAUAAAGUAACUAAACGUGUUUCAUAAAAUUCCCAAUCUUAGUUACUUUAGGAAAAAUGAAUUGAUGCAAUCCCACGAAAUUACACUUUGUACCCUUGCUGAGAAGUUAGUGGAGCGCGUGUGGUUAACUGGCACACUAAUUGGUUGUGAGCAAUAGUAGCAAAGGGUGACUCACGUUUGUCAUACUUCGAUGGAGCGUGUGUGGUUAACCGGCACAUCGAAUAGAUGACUGUAACAAUGAGGGCAUCACGUAUAUUUGCAUGGUUAUUCACACCCGCUUUGUGAUCCUCGGCAUCCCAGUCACAAACUAGAGGGGCAUAUCGAGAUUUAAACAUGCCAUUGAAAAGUUCAAUGAAUCUCAAAGAAAUCUAGGAAUUCUCAAUACAUUUAAAACUUAAGCUUAGGUUUUUCAUGGUGAAGAAUUAGUGAAUCGUCAUUCACUUACCUCCAAAUUAUUUGCAUGUUGGAUUACGGCACCCCUUUUCUAAUGUGUAAAUAAUGUUGUUGGGUCCUAAACCUAAUUUUAACUUUGGGUUUUUAAUUAGGGGCUUAAUUUUAAUCAAACUUUGUUCCUUUCUAUUUGUAGAUGUCUAACGCGAACAAAGCUGCUGCUAGCUCAUUCACGCUAAUUAGCCUUUGUCAAAAAGUGACUUUUGACGGAUCGAACUUUAGCGAAUGGAUAAGAUACAUUCGCACGAUUGCGCGCUACGAGGACAAAGAGUAUACCCUCGACGAGAAGCUCGAAAAGAUCAAUCCAGAAAUCGCUACUCCCAAAGAAAUGGUUGUCUUUGAGACCCAUGAGCGUGAUGCAACGAAAGUCCAUUGCAUUUCGCUAGCCACAAUGAACACCGAAUUCCAAAAGUCCUAUGAGGACAUGUUAUCCGUACGAGAUGCAUCAAGACUUAAUGGAGAGAUACCACCAAAGCGCGAGGCAAGAGCGCUAUGAGAUCAUCACGAACAUGAUCACUACUAAGAUGGGAAGUGGAGAGUCUCUAACCGUGCACUUGCAAAAGAUGCAAAGAUAUGUUGAUUGUCUUCGCAAGUUAAAUGUUAACUUUGGAAAGAUUUGGCUAUCGACAUUGUUCUUCACUCCUUGCACUCAUGCUACAACCAAUUUAGGAUGACCUACCAUAUGAACAAGGAAGAGGUCACCCUAAGCAAACUCCAAGGGCUCCUAAGGACUACUGAGAGCAACCUCAAGGACAAGUCUGUUGCAUUAACUCCCAAUCCACCCACUGCUCUUAUUUUGGCUAUUGGGCAAGGAAGGGGAAAGAAGAGGAAGACUCCUUCAAAAAGCCGCCACAAGGGAAAGUCCCAAGAUGGUUCCUCUUCUAGUGGGACCAAGGUUGGCCCUGCUAAGCCCAACCCAAACCCAAAGGAGGCGGAGUGCCACCAUUGCCACAAAAUAGGGCAUUGGAAGAGAAGCCACGCGGAAUAUCUGCAGGCCAUGAAGGGUGGGAAGAUCAAGCCAUCUUUCGUAGGUAUUUACACAAUUAAAUCUAAUGAUUCAUCUCAUUAUAUUUCUUGGGUUCUUGAUACAGGAUGUGGUUAUCACAUUUGUUCUGAUUUGUAAGGACUAAGAAGAAAUAGGGAUGUGGAGCGUGGAAGAAUAAAUCUAAUCAUGGGGAACAGAAGAUCGUCUCCUGUGACCAAGAUUGGAGUGUAUUCUCUAGUGCUUAGUAAUGGAUUAGUUUUAGAUUUAAAUAAUUGUUGCUACUCGCCAGAUAUGGCAAGAAACAUCAUUUCAUUUCAUGGUUUAUUUAGACAAGGAUUUAGAUAUUCGUUUAAUAAUGAGAAUGAUCGAUUUAUGCUUAUCUAAAUGGUGUUUUACAUUUUGAAGCAAUGCCUUGUAAUGGAAUUUAUGAAACUGUUAUGGUUGUAGAUAACCUAGGAAAUGAUGUGUUGUGUAUGGAUUCUUCCAAUAGUAUGGAUAAAGCAUGCUUGUGGCAUUGUCGUCUUGGACAUGUCAACAAGAAGCGCAUAGCCCAACUCCAAAAGGUUGGAGUGUUGGAGUCAUUCAACCUUAGGGAAGAUGACAUGUGCGAAUCUUGUUUACUUAGAAAGAUGACCAAGUCACCCUUCACUGGUACUUGUGAGAGGGGAGAGGGUUUAUUGGAUAUCAUACACAUCGACGUGUGUGGGCCCUUUAGACCCACAACAAAGGACGCGAACCGCUUCUACGCGACUUUCACCGAUGAUUAUAGUAGAUAUGGGUAUAUUUACUUAAUCAAGCACAAGUCAGAAAAAUUUGAAAAGUUCAAAGAGUUCAAACAUGAAGUGAAGAAUCAAUUGGGCAGGAAAAUCAAGAUGGUUCGAUCCGAUCGAGGAGGAGAGUACCUAAGUCUUGAAUUCCACAACUAUCUCAAGGAAUAUGGAAUAGUUUCGCAGUUGAUGCUACCUAGGACACCACAAUUGAAUGGUGUGGCAUAAAGGCGUAAUCGAACCCUAUUAGACAUGUUUCGUUCUAUGAUGAGUCGUGCUUCACUACCUAUCUCAUUCUUGGGGUAUGCCUUAGAGACUGCCGCCCAUAUCCUUAACUGAGUCCCUACAAAGAAGGUUGCCAAAGCACCUCACGAGAUGUGGACAGGGAAAGCUCCCUCGUUGGCACAUAUCAAGGUUUGGGGCUGUGAGGUUUUCGUAAGACGAGAGACUCACGACAAGCUCGAACCUCGUAGUGAGCGAUGUAUUUUCAUCGGCUACCCGCAGAAAUCCUUUGGAUAUCUCUUCUAUAGACCGAAGGACAAUGUUGUCUUCGUUGCGAGGAGAGGAGUUUUCCGAGAGCGAGAACUCAUAAGCCAAGGAGACAGUGGGAGGCAAAUCGAGCUUGAAGAGAUUCAAGAGUCGAUAGAUGAAGGAACCUCUACCGCUGGCACUCAACCCGAGGAGGAAACUCCGGUUGAACCAAUUGACGAGUCCUUACCUCUUAGACGUUCCGAAAGAGUUAGAGUUCAACCCCAGUUUUAUGGUUUUCAUAUUACUACCGAAGGGGACACAUAUAUUAGUGAUGGUACACUAAUAAAUCUAGAUGAACCUAAUAGCUAUAAGGAAGCCAUGGCAGGCCCAGAGUCUGUAAAAUGGAAAGAGGCGAUGGACAGCGAGAUUCAGUCCAUGUAUGACAACCAAGUUUGGAAUUUGGUUGACAAUGUGCCCGGACGUAAGACGGUUGGGUGCAAAUGGAUCUUCAAGAAGAAGACCGACGUGGAUGGGAAUGUGCACACGUAUAAGGCACGAUUGGUGGCGAAGGGCUUUACUCAAACUCCCGGAGUUGACUAUGAUGAGACCUUCUCGCCAGUUGCUAAGAUAAAGUCUAUUAGGGCGAUGCUAGCCAUUGCUGCAUUUCAUGAUUAUGAGAUAUGGAAAAUGGAUGUCAAGACCGCUUUCCUUAAUGGGAAGUUGUCUGUGGAUGUUUACAUGGCUCAGCCAGAAGCUUUUGUCGAUUCGAAGCAUCCCAAUAGAGUGUGCAAGCUUGAGAAGUCCAUUUAUGGACUUAAGCAAGCAUCUCGCAGAUGGAAUCUUUGCUUCGAUGAGAAAGUCAAAGAGUUUGGAUUUGUACGAAGUGAAGAUGAAUCAUGUGUAUAUGUCAAAGCCAGUGGGAGUAUAGUUAGCUUCCUCGUUUUGUAUGUCGCUGACAUACUACUCAUAGGAAACGACAUCCCGACUCUGCAGGAGGUUAAGUCCUGGCUCGGGAAGUGCUUCUCUAUGAAGGACCUUAGAGAGGGUUCCUAUAUUUUAGGAAUUAGGAUAGUGAGAGAACGAAGUAAGAGACUAAUAGGACUUAGUCAGAAUACUUACUUGGAUAAGGUACUAAAAUGUUUUAGUAUGGAAAACUCGAAGAAGGGAGAACUACCGAUACAAAGUAAUUCCAAAUUGAGUAAGACUCAAAGUCCAAGUACAGAAGCCGAAAUAGCUGAGAUGAUCCGAGCACCUUACGCUUCUGCAGUUGGCUCAAUCAUGUAUGCUAUGACUUGUACUCGCCCUGAUGUGGCCUUUGCUUUGAGCAUGGUCAGUAGAUAUCAAGGAAACCCUUGCAAAGCUCAUUGAAUCGCAGUCAAGAAUAUCCUUAAGUACCUUCGGAGGACCAAGGAAUGGGUUUUAGUCCUCGGAGGGGUGAUGACUUAAAGGUGCGAGGGUAUAGUGACGCCAGAUUCCAGACCGACAGGGACAACUACCGUUCGCAGUCGGGCUGGGUCUUUACCCUUAAUGGAGGAGCAGUGACUUGGAAAAGUUCCAAGCAAGAAACCGUAGUUGAUUCAACAUGUGAAUCAGAGUACAUUGCAGCGAGCGAAGCGUCAAAGGAGGCGAUGUGGUUGAAGAACUUCAUUGGUGACCUUGGAGUUGUGCCUGCCAUAAAGGAACCUAUGGAAAUUUUCUGUGAUAAUGAAGGAGCGGUCGCCUUGACCAAGGAACCGAGGGAUCAUGGUAGAUCUCGUCAUAUUGACAGAAAAUAUCACUUUAUUCAACAUAGGGUAGAAGAAGGACACAUGGUAGUAAAGAGGGUAUCGUAAGAGGAUAACCCAGCAGAUCCGCUUACGAAGGGACUGAGUAGGGUUAAGCACUUGCAGCACGCUAGGAGCAUUGGGCUGAAAGACGAUAUUAGUUUAGAUUAGAUAGUUUAGAAACAUGUAAUUGAUAAAUGUAAUUGACAUUUGAUGAUUAAAUAAAAGAGUAUUAUUUAUAAGUAAAACUACUGUCUUAUGUUAAUUGUUUAACUAUUGUUACACUUUGCAUGUUUUGACUUCCUGAAUAAUUGAGUUAUUAAGAAUAAUCGAAUUAUUCGAAUGGUCCACAAUCGUUCAUAUGUUGGAAGUAGGUAUGAAUAAAGAUUGUCAUGAAUUGGUGUGUAGAUUGUCUAAAAGGUAUUAGACAUAGCAAAGGUUUGCUGCAACAUUCAUGAGUGCUUAUGAACAAGUUUUGAGCAUUGGAAUAAACUCGCGCUUGCUGGAAUCACUUUAUGGAAUGUACCGCAAGUAAUCGGAAGACGAUAAUAUCAUAUGGUCUUAAAACCAAGAUAUAUGGUUUAUUGUUCACUAAUUAUUUUUUCAUUGAUAAUGCGAAACCACAUCAGUAAAUUGAUGUCAUAAAACGCAUUGCUGUGUAUAGUUGAUUAGUAAAUAGUAAAUGCAUAUAAGUCGAUGUUUAUCUGUUACUUUUAUCCUAAGAGGGUAAAAGCAAUAUCAGGGCCCCUCGAUGAUUUAAUUUGACUUAUGUGUCGGGCCCGGUCAGGACUGAAUUGAUGUGUUCAAUUAAGUUCUACGUCAAAUGAAUCUGAGAUCGAGAAACCAACUGCUGGGCAAUAAGUAUUACUAUGUUCCAUGAGAUUGUCCACACGAUAUCUAAACAUAGGAUUGUACGAUCUCUUAUCUAAAGGACAGGAUACUGAUAAGAUCAGAGUUUGACUGCGUCUUUGAGAGCUACGAUUGCUAAUCGGAUUGUGUUUGCAUAUAUAGUUACUAGACUUAUCCAAGUGAGAGACUGUUGGAUUAGUGUCUAAGCCUGUAACUAUAUUUGGUAAGUACUUGACCCGGUUGUGCAUGGUCCUUUUGGGUUGCCUUCACCAUGGCAACUUGAUAGGGUGAUUUAUAAAGAGAGAAGAUAUAUUAUUAUAUUAAUAUAUUAUGAGAAUAAUAUAUUAAAGGAAUAAUAAUAUUAUUUGAUUGAUAUAAGUCAUAAAUUAAUUAAGAAUUAAUUUGGUGACUUAAAGAGGUUAAUUGAAUAAAGGGGCAUAAAUUGUCAAAUGUAUGAUAGUUGUGUUUUUGGGCUAUGUAUCCUUAUGGAUAUUAGGGUGGACGAAUUUUAGGGUUAUGAUAUCUUAAAAAAAUCGUCCAAGCCUCAUAUCUAGAAGGAUCUUUGGAUUGCUUAGGGCCUAAGUUAUUCAAUUAGGGUUAAGGGUGUAACCCUAGUAGCUCAUAAUAUAAAUAGACCCCAUGGCUGAGGGAAAUCAGCCACUCUUGCAAGAAAGAAACCCUAGAGCCGAUUUCCUCACCUCUCCUCUCUCUCAAGAUCAUCCUCUUGCUAGUUGGUGUUUGUAAGCCAUUAGAGGAGUGACAAUUGUGACUCUAAGCUCCAAGUACAAGAAGAUUCAAGCAAGCAACUUAAGGUAUUCUUCUAGAUCUGAUUUCAUAAGUUAUGAUUCAAUUGUUUACACUAGAUCUUGAAUUGUAGGCCUUGGAUACAUUGCAUGUUCAAUUAGAGAAACCUAGAUCCAAGCAUUAGGGUUUGUAUGUGCGCAUAGAAAAGUUCUUAUCGCUCAAACCCAUCAUUAACGAACUUCUCAGGAAGGGAUUCAUUAGGCCAAGCUUCUCGCCAUGGGGAGCAUCGGUCUUGUUCGUGAAGAAGAAAGACGGAUCGUUUUGUAUGUACAUCGACUACAGAGAGCUGAACAAACUUACCGUCAAGAAUCGUUAUCCCCUACCCCACAUUGACGACUUAUUUGAUCAACUUCAAGGAGCGAGCUACUUCUCGAAGAUAGAUCUAAGAUCCGGGUAUCACCAGUUAGGAGUGCCAGAGGAGGAUGUCCCAAAGACAGCCUUCCGAACUCGUUAUGGACAUUACAAGUUUGUAGUGAUGUCGUUCGGAUUAACCAACGCACCAGUUGUAUUCAUGGAUCUAAUCAAUAGGGUGUGUCGUCCUUACUUGGAUCAGUUCGUCAUUGUCUUCAUCGAUGACAUACUUAUCUACUCUUGAAGUAAGGAGGAGCAUAGUCAACACCUACGAAGAGUCUUA
RNAcentral lists this long non-coding RNA (7909 nucleotides) under Lactuca sativa (garden lettuce). Its description in RNAcentral is "long non-coding RNA (LSAT_LNC004580)". Lineage: Eukaryota; Viridiplantae; Streptophyta; Magnoliopsida; Asterales; Asteraceae. The record is from RNAcentral.